GUAUUACGAUUGCCCCCGAGUUGUUUUAUUUUUAGAACACUACACAUAUCCGGAUGUUGCUAUUUUUAGAACCAGAAGGUAUUUCCCCGCUAUUCAUAGGUCAAUAAUGGAAUUUCUACAUCGUCGAUUAAUAGUUGGAAACUCGGUUUUGUCAUGAAUAUACGUUUAAAAUAAGUAAACACUAAAAGUGCACACUCACAGUUGAUUACGAUACAUCGAACAAUUUGAGUCAUUACAGUAAAACAUGGAUUAUAAGUGAAUUAUACGCGUAAGAGAAGAUUUUCUGUCGAAAAAACUAAUGUCAAAAAUCAGCAUGGGAUAUUCGUAUCAAAGGGCUAUUCAUGCAGGAAAAUGACUGAAUAUUACUAUUAUAUGAAGAAUUCCAGCCUGCAUGAAAUACUUUGUUGGAUCAUUGAGACAGAUUUGACAUCCAUGUCUAUCCACAUCUGAUAGAGAUGAUCACUAAACAUUCUAGAUGGGUAAAGACCUGUUAAAUCGGCAUUGACUCAGCAUUGAGUAAUUUUCAUCUGUGCAGACACUACAAGUACAAACGCAUGGGAACAAACCAAACUUCAAAUGUUGAAGAGUGAAGAAUUAUUGUGAAAAGUUCUAAAUGUUAGAAUACCAUUGACUAAAUAAAACAAAUAGACAUCGAUUACCAACAGAGACUGUUUACAUGUUAUAAUAUUAAAAAGACAUUAGUUGAGAACUUUCACUCUGACAUUUUUGGAGGGGCAUUACCGCCUACUUAGUGUUCUUGUUUCUUUACAUAUUUUAAUUUAAAAGUACAAUCAUUGUUUUUAAAUCUGAAUUCUGAGUUAGUAUCAUAAGUAAAAUUCAUUUAUUUGAAUGAUUACAUUUUAUGAAUAAGUCCAAUUGAGCUUUUUACAAGAAAAAGGUUGAUUUUUAAGCAUUUUAUUAGUUAUAAAAAUGUAUAGUUACAUGACAUUAUGUAUAUUUUCUUCAAAACUGAACGGUAAACUAUCAUAAAUUGUCUUUUGAAUUGUUCAUUAGACAUCAUAGAAAAUAUUUAAAUGAUUUCAGCAGGUUGUCUUAUUAUUAACUAUUUUUAUGAAUUUAUAAAACUGCUAUAUAUUUUCAAACAUCGAAAUACUGCUCUGUUUCGAAGACUCACAAGAUCAAUCAACAUGAUUUUUUUCCAUGUGUAUCAAUAAUAUGUUCGGUUGAACGUAAUUUUUCUGUUAACUGAAGUUUAUUUUACCAGAAACUGUUGUGUUUAUUUCAUAAUCUCUGAUAAUGUGAAAAAGAAAUCAAAUAAAGACAAAAUAUUUUUAAUUAACAGUAAAAAAUCUUCAAAAUUUGGAUAAAAGUCCCAUAGUGUACCAUGAUAAUAACU
Molecule: long non-coding RNA, 1357 nt
Organism: Mya arenaria
Lineage: Eukaryota; Metazoa; Mollusca; Bivalvia; Myida; Myidae
Exons: 3
Source: RefSeq, a predicted model, not a curated record